RNAcentral lists this ribosomal RNA (120 nucleotides) under Gadus morhua (Atlantic cod). Lineage: Eukaryota; Metazoa; Chordata; Actinopteri; Gadiformes; Gadidae. The record is from RNAcentral.
GCUUACGGCCAUACCACCUUAGGCACGCCCGAUUCUCGUCUGAUCUCGGAAGCUAAGCAGGGUCGGGCCUGGUUAGUACUUGGAUGGGUGACCGCCUGGGAAUACCAGGUGCUGUAAGCA